UCCGAGUUGACCCCGGCAGUCUCCCAUGAGUCCCCGGCAUAACCCGCUGGCAACAUGGAACGAGGGUUGCGCUCGUUGCGGGACUUAACCCAACAUCUCACGACACGAGCUGACGACAACCAUGCACCACCUGUGAACCGGCCCCAAAGGGGAAGCCGUGUUUCCACGGCGGUCCGGCCCAUGUCAAGCCUUGGUAAGGUUCUUCGCGUUGCAUCGAAUUAAUCCGCAUGCUCCGCCGCUUGUGCGGGCCCCCGUCAAUUCCUUUGAGUUUCAGCCUUGCGGCCGUACUCCCCAGGCGGGGCACUUAAUGCGUUAGCGCCGGCACUCGGAGGGUCGCUCCCCCAAGCACCUAGUGCCCAUCGUUUACGGCGUGGACUAC
RNAcentral lists this unclassified non-coding RNA (379 nucleotides) under uncultured Micrococcaceae bacterium. Its description in RNAcentral is "contains 16S-23S intergenic spacer region". Lineage: Bacteria; Bacillati; Actinomycetota; Actinomycetes; Micrococcales; Micrococcaceae. The record is from RNAcentral.